Molecule: ribosomal RNA, 465 nt
Filed under: uncultured bacterium
Lineage: Bacteria
Description: partial 16S ribosomal RNA
Rfam family: Bacterial small subunit ribosomal RNA
Source: RNAcentral
GACGAACGCUGGCGGCGUGCUUAACACAUGCAAGUCGUACGGUAAGGCCCUUUCGGGGGUACACGAGUGGCGAACGGGUGAGUAACACGUGAGUAACCUGCCCACAACUUUGGGAUAACGCUAGGAAACUGGUGCUAAUACUGGAUAUGUGCCCCUGCUGCAUGGUGGGGGUUGGAAAGCUCCGGCGGUUGUGGAUGGACUCGCGGCCUAUCAGCUUGUUGGUGGGGUAGUGGCCUACCAAGGCGGCGACGGGUAGCCGGCCUGAGAGGGUGACCGGCCACAUUGGGGCUGAGAUACGGCCCAGACUCCUACGGGAGGCAGCAGUGGGGAAUAUUGCACAAUGGGCGCAAGCCUGAUGCAGCAACGCCGCGUGCGGGAUGACGGCCUUCGGGUUGGAAACCGCGUUCAGCAGGGACGAAGCUUUUUGUGACGGUACCUGCAGAAGAAGCACCGGCUAACUACGUG